Long non-coding RNA from Silurus meridionalis, 608 nucleotides. RefSeq lists it as uncharacterized. Lineage: Eukaryota; Metazoa; Chordata; Actinopteri; Siluriformes; Siluridae. The transcript is spliced from 2 exons. The record is from RefSeq and is a predicted model, not a curated record.
UGAGCACUGAAGCAGGAGCUGCUGAUGCAAAGUGUGUGUGUGUGUGUGUGUGUGUGUGUGUGUGUGUGUGUGUGUGUGUGUGUGUAGGAGGUUUUUGUACGGUGGUUUCAUUAGAACGCAUCACUGUGGUACACUUUUGGUGGAGGCUCCAAACUUGUUAUUAACACGAGUCCUACAGUGAAGCCCACUGUGUCUCUGCUCCCUCAGUCCCCCCUGCAGUCGUGUGAUGGCUCGCUGCUCUGCCUGCUGUCUGACUACUCUCCACAGGGGGCGCUGGUGAGCUGGACGGUGGACGGCUCAGAGGUGAAGAAUGGGGUUCUGACCAGUGCAGAAGAACUGAAGAACGGCCGUUACAGCCGCAUAAGCACCCUGACCCUCAGCAAAGAUCUCUGGGGAAAAGGGGAGGAGUUUAUCUGUAAGGUCUCCCAUAGCAACGCCAUUCAUCCAGUCACGUUCAGAAAGAGUCAGUGUGAAGACUAGAGGAUCCAAGAUAGAGUUUAACAUCGAGCUGCUUCUGAUCUACACACUGCUGAUGUUUCUGUAUUUCCUCUCGUCACUGUGCUGUUGCUCUUCCUGUAGUUUCUGCUGAAAUAAAGCUGAGUUUUGGA